Molecule: microRNA precursor, 125 nt
Filed under: Hordeum vulgare
Lineage: Eukaryota; Viridiplantae; Streptophyta; Magnoliopsida; Poales; Poaceae
Description: microRNA MIR1122
Rfam family: MIR1120/MIR1122 microRNA precursor family
Source: RNAcentral
AUACUAUUUCCUCCGUCCGAAAAUACUUGUCCUAGAGAUGAAUGUAUCUAGACUUAUUUUAGUUAUAGAUACAUUCAUUACAUUCAUUUUUGGGGACAAGUAUUUCCGGACGGAGGGAGUACUUU